AUUGAACGCUGGCGGCAUGCCUUACACAUGCAAGUCGAACGGCAGCACGGGUGCUUGCACCUGGUGGCGAGUGGCGAACGGGUGAGUAAUACAUCGGAACAUGUCCUGUAGUGGGGGAUAGCCCGGCGAAAGCCGGAUUAAUACCGCAUACGAUCUACGGAUGAAAGCGGGGGACCUUCGGGCCUCGCGCUAUAGGGUUGGCCGAUGGCUGAUUAGCUAGUUGGUGGGGUAAAGGCCUACCAAGGCGACGAUCAGUAGCUGGUCUGAGAGGACGACCAGCCACACUGGGACUGAGACACGGCCCAGACUCCUACGGGAGGCAGCAGUGGGGAAUUUUGGACAAUGGGCGAAAGCCUGAUCCAGCAAUGCCGCGUGUGUGAAGAAGGCCUUCAGGUUGUAAAGCACUUUUGUCCGGAAAGAAAUCCUUGGCCCUAAUACGGUCGGGGGAUGACGGUACCGGAAGAAUAAGCACCGGCUAACUACGUG
This 486-nucleotide ribosomal RNA is filed under the name uncultured bacterium. RNAcentral's name for it is "partial 16S ribosomal RNA". It matches the Rfam family "Bacterial small subunit ribosomal RNA", at positions 30 to 507 of the family's 1533-position model. The record is from RNAcentral.